UACGAAGGGGGCUAGCGUUGUUCGGAAUUACUGGGCGUAAAGGGCGCGUAGGCGGUGUGUCAAGUCAGGCGUGAAAGCCCCGGGCUCAACCUGGGAACAGCGCUUGAGACUGGCACGCUCGAGUUCGGGAGAGGAUGGUGGAAUUCCCAGUGUAGAGGUGAAAUUCGUAGAUAUUGGGAAGAACACCGAUGGCGAAGGCAGCCACCUGGACCGACACUGACGCUGAGGCGCGAAAGCGUGGGGAGCAAACAGG
This 253-nucleotide ribosomal RNA is filed under the name uncultured bacterium. RNAcentral's name for it is "partial 16S ribosomal RNA". It matches the Rfam family "Bacterial small subunit ribosomal RNA", at positions 524 to 776 of the family's 1533-position model. The record is from RNAcentral.